UUUCCGUAGGUGAACCUGCGGAAGGAUCAUUGUAGGAUUGUUUUGGGAGGGGUGGUUGUGAUUUGUGGGGAUUGUGUGUGGUUGUUUGGAUUGCCUGGAUUGCCUGGCUGUCUGCAACUCGACUCGUCUCAUCACAACCACUCUUUACAUUGGCACAGGCCAGUGGUCUGAUGUUUAGAGCACAGACUCAGUCUGAUGUCUGCGCUUGUUCGUUUGACAGAAACAGUACCAUAUCAUGGCAAAACUUUUAACAAUGGAUCUCUUGGUUCUG
This 271-nucleotide unclassified non-coding RNA is filed under the name plant metagenome. RNAcentral describes it as "partial contains small subunit ribosomal RNA, internal transcribed spacer 1, and 5.8S ribosomal RNA". The record is from RNAcentral.